CUUGAGGAGGAAGCCCCGGCUAACUACGUGCCAGCAGCCGCGGUAAUACGUAGGGGGCUAGCGUUAUCCGGAUUUACUGGGCGUAAAGGGUGCGUAGGCGGUUUUUCAAGUCAGGAGUGAAAGGCUACGGCUCAACCGUAGUAAGCUCUUGAAACUGGGAGACUUGAGUGCAGGAGAGGAGAGUGGAAUUCCUAGUGUAGCGGUG
RNAcentral lists this ribosomal RNA (205 nucleotides) under Clostridioides difficile. RNAcentral describes it as "partial 16S ribosomal RNA". It matches the Rfam family "Bacterial small subunit ribosomal RNA", at positions 478 to 683 of the family's 1533-position model. Lineage: Bacteria; Bacillati; Bacillota; Clostridia; Peptostreptococcales; Peptostreptococcaceae. The record is from RNAcentral.